RNAcentral lists this transfer RNA (69 nucleotides) under Sphaerodactylus townsendi. RNAcentral's name for it is "tRNA-Val". Lineage: Eukaryota; Metazoa; Chordata; Lepidosauria; Squamata; Sphaerodactylidae. The record is from RNAcentral.
GCUGUGGCUCAGAGGAAGAGCUGCUGGUUUACAUGCAGAAGGUCUCUGGUUCAAUCCUGGGCAUCUCCA